AAAUUGAAGAGUUUGAUCAUGGCUCAGAUUGAACGCUGGCGGCAGGCCUAACACAUGCAAGUCGAACGGUAACAGGAAACAGCUUGCUGUUUCGCUGACGAGUGGCGGACGGGUGAGUAAUGUCUGGGAAACUGCCUGAUGGAGGGGGAUAACUACUGGAAACGGUAGCUAAUACCGCAUAAC
This 183-nucleotide ribosomal RNA is filed under the name Acinetobacter baumannii. RNAcentral's name for it is "partial 16S ribosomal RNA". It matches the Rfam family "Bacterial small subunit ribosomal RNA", at positions 1 to 177 of the family's 1533-position model. The record is from RNAcentral. RNAcentral also lists the same sequence under 2 other names. Lineage: Bacteria; Pseudomonadati; Pseudomonadota; Gammaproteobacteria; Moraxellales; Moraxellaceae.